UUGCAAUGCAGCAGCUAUACAUGCAGUCGAGCGGACAGAUGGGAGCUUGCUCCCUGAUGUUAGCGGCGGACGGGUGAGUAACACGUGGGUAACCUGCCUGUAAGACUGGGAUAACUCCGGGAAACCGGGGCUAAUACCGGAUGGUUGUCUGAACCGCAUGGUUCAGACAUAAAAGGUGGCUUCGGCUACCACUUACAGAUGGACCCGCGGCGCAUUAGCUAGUUGGUGAGGUAACGGCUCACCAAGGCGACGAUGCGUAGCCCACCUGAGAGGGUGAUCGGCCACACUGGGACUGAGACACGGCCCAGACUCCUACGGGAGGCAGCAGUAGGGAAUCUUCCGCAAUGGACGAAAGUCUGACGGAGCAACGCCGCGUGAGUGAUGAAGGUUUUCGGAUCGUAAAGCUCUGUUGUUAGGGAAGAACAAGUGCCGUUCAAAUAGGGCGGCACCUUGACGGUACCUAACCAGAAAGCCACGGCUAACUACGUGCCAGCAGCCGCGGUAAUACGUAGGUGGCAAGCGUUGUCCGGAAUUAUUGGGCGUAAAGGGCUCGCAGGCGGUUUCUUAAGUCUGAUGUGAAAGCCCCCGGCUCAACCGGGGAGGGUCAUUGGAAACUGGGGAACUUGAGUGCAGAAGAGGAGAGUGGAAUUCCACGUGUAGCGGUGAAAUGCGUAGAGAUGUGGAGGAACACCAGUGGCGAAGGCGACUCUCUGGUCUGUAACUGACGCUGAGGAGCGAAAGCGUGGGGAGCGAACAGGAUUAGAUACCCUGGUAGUCCACGCCGUACACGAUGAGUGCUAAGUGUUAGGGGGUUUCCGCCCCUUAGUGCUGCAGCUAACGCAUUAAGCACUCCGCCUGGGGAGUACGGUCGCAAGACUGAAACUCAGAGGAAUUGACGGGGGCCCGCACAAGCGGUGGAGCAUGUGGUUUAAUUCGAAGCAACGCGAAGAACCUUACCAGGUCUUGACAUCCUCUGACAAUCCUAGAGAUAGGACGUCCCCUUCGGGGGCAGAGUGACAGGUGGUGCAUGGUUGUCGUCAGCUCGUGUCGUGAGAUGUUGGGUUAAGUCCCGCAACGAGCGCACCCUUGAUCUUAGUUGCCAGCAUUCAGUUGGGCACUCUAAGGUGACUGCCGGUGACAACCGGAGAAGGGGGGGGAUGACGUCAAAUCAUCAGGCCCCUUAUAACCGGGGCAAACACGUGGUUCAAUGGGAAGAAACAAGG
This 1223-nucleotide ribosomal RNA is filed under the name Bacillus amyloliquefaciens. Its description in RNAcentral is "bacterial SSU rRNA". It matches the Rfam family "Bacterial small subunit ribosomal RNA", at positions 37 to 1245 of the family's 1533-position model. Lineage: Bacteria; Bacillati; Bacillota; Bacilli; Caryophanales; Bacillaceae. The record is from RNAcentral.